UGAAAGCCCUCGGCUCAACCGAGGAAUUGCAGGACGAACCGCACGUCUUGAGGCGAGUAGGGGCUGUCAGAACGAUCGGUGGAGUGGUGAAAUGCGUUGAUAUCGAUCGGAACGCCGAAGGAGAAAUCAGGCAGCUGGGCUUGUCCUGACGCUGAGGUACGAAAGCGUGGGGAGCGAACGGGAUUAGAUACCCCGGUAGUCCACGCCGUAAACGAUGUGCACUAGAUCGAGGGGGCUCUGACGCCGCUCUCGGUCGAAGGGAAAUUGUUAAGUGCACCGCCUGGGGAGUACGGUCGCAAGGCUAAAACUCAAAGGAAUUGACGGGGGCUCACACAAGCGGUGGAGCAUGUGGCUUAAUUCGAAGCAACGCGAAGAACCUUAUCCUGGGUUUGACAUGUAUGGAUUAGCUCUGUGAAAGCAGAGUGACGCGGCUUGCCGUGGAACAUACACAGGUGCUGCAUGGCUGUCGUCAGCUCGUGCUGUGAAGUGUCGGGUUAAGUCCCUUAACGAGCGCAACCCCUGUCGCUAGUUGCUAGCAGGUAAUGCUGAGGACUCUAGCGAGACUGCCGGUGCCAAACCGGGGGAAGGUGGGGAUGACGUCAAGUCCGCAUGGCCUUUAUGCCCAGGGCUGCACACGUGCUACAAUGGUCGGUACAGAACGAUGCAAUACCGCGAGGUGGAGCAAAUCGCUAAAGCCGGCCCCAGUUCGGAUUGCAGGCUGCAACUCGCCUGCAUGAAGU
RNAcentral lists this ribosomal RNA (740 nucleotides) under uncultured Planctomycetota bacterium. Its description in RNAcentral is "bacterial SSU rRNA". It matches the Rfam family "Bacterial small subunit ribosomal RNA", at positions 595 to 1326 of the family's 1533-position model. Lineage: Bacteria; Pseudomonadati; Planctomycetota. The record is from RNAcentral.